AUAAACAAGUUUUAGUCGAAGACUUCCAAAUUCUGAAUAUGUUUUAAUCAAAGAGGAUCAAAAUAUAAACACACCAUUUGAGCUACCAUUGCCAACUUAGUAAAUAGAAUAAUCUAUCUUCAAACUUUUUGGAUACUGCUUGCUCUGCAAAGAAGAAAACAAAGUGCAUUACUAAAAGCUGAUGAAAGACAUACUAUUUAAAUUCUGGCGUAAUAUGACAAAUAAAUACCAUGGAAAAGUUGUUGGCAUCAUCUUCAGGUCCCAUUCAUUGUAGAUGAUCCGACACUUGAAGCAAUGCUUGCCAUUGACUCCAUCCUUCCAUGCUCCGUGCAGAAAUAAUUUUUAGAUAUUACAUCCAGCAACAACUAAGAGUUAGAUUGUCAUGAGAGCUGUAGCACAUCGAAGUCUAAGAAAACAAUAAUCCCAUGCUAAAGUAGCGAAGAAUGAUAAUGUAUAUGGAAUGCAUUGGCAUUUAGAUGAACUAAGGAAAAGAAAAGGAGUGCUUGUGAAAAUGGUCUUGAGUACAGCAGCAUAAUUUAGCAUAGCCUUUUUGCCAUGGACACAUAGCAUGAUAUCACCACAAAGUGAGAUCUGUAGGAAUAAAAUGCCAUUUUAUCACACCUGUAGGAACAUAUUGCAAGUGUUAAUGAAUCUCAGUCUUGUGCGGCUGUGCCUUCAAGCAGAAUAUCACAACUUGUGCCAACAAGCACUUCAUGUUCAGGACUUGAACAAGUAGAUAAAAUUACUUCACUCAUGUACACUACCAGGCCAUAAGUUUCUGAAAUUUUUACUAUACAUAAUUGCUAGAAUAUGCAGUCUAAGCAAAAUAUAGCAAUUUCUCUGACUAAGUUUGCCGCGCCAAGAUACAGAAAGAUAUCUACUCAAGAUACGAUUGGCUACAACUCCAAAAAUCAGUAUAAAGGGAACAAAGGAUUAGAUCCAAAACACAUAAUAGUAACACAAAUUCGUAACAUCUAAAAGAAUACCUGAAGGCUCGGAGUUCUCUUCUCCGGCGUCGGUAGAUGGCGGAGCUAGGCAGGAGUGUGUGGCUGUGGAGGGGGUUGCGUCGAGGUGGAUAAUGGCGGGGCAGAGGUGGGGCGAGUUUCCCGCUGGACGUCGGAGCAGAGUACGUCCAUACUGCAGUGAGCUUGUUCCACCGGUGUGGCAGCGCAGCCCACGGCGAGAUCCGCCGCCAGGCCCCUGAUGCUUUUUGUUCUUUCUGUUCCAAACUGUGGCACACCUAAGUAACGGGGGCAUUACUGCUAUUUUGUGCUUAUGUGGGGCGCCUUUUGGCAAAAUUCUAAGAGCGGGGCGUUCGGGUUUCAUCCUAACCUUGUAUUCUGUAUCUGAUGGAUGAGCUGCGUACGGUGCAGCCGGAGCACCCAAUCCAUUGGAGUAUAGGAUACUUUCCCCCGUCAUCCUUGACCAAAUAAUGGGGCCGGUUACCCUGUGUGAGCUUGCGUGGUCCACUUCUUUUCCUUUUUUUUGUCUGUGUAUUCCACAUUUCCACUUCAAUGCCAGUCCAAAGGACUUGCUAGGAUCAAGAAAUUGGCAUGGUUUCCAACAUAUCAUAUGCCUUUGACUAAUAUGAUCUAUAGUAGUAUUUCUCUCUUAGUAAAAGUUAUGAAUCUAUACCAACGUAGAGACUAGCUUAGUAAGCUUGAAUCUGCCCAACAUUCACAUUGGAUCCAACACUAUUUUCUUCCUUGGUGCAUUUUGCUCAAUUCCUACUCAUCCAUUUAUGCAUUUUCUCAAUUUCUCGAUCCACCUUGCGGUAAACGUACAAGGAUGCAACCAACAAAGGUCCACAACUCCACAUACAAAUACUUCCGCUUGGUAUAGAAAUCCAAUUCCCCGAGACAGAGUACAUAUAUAUGGCCUACUUUGUGAGGGUCGCUGACUUGAAGAGGACAAGUCAAAGUCCCUCCCCUUUCUUUCUAUUGUUAAACUAUUCACUAGUACUUCUGCUUUUAAGUCAAAUUCUAAAUAACUUGUUGAAUCAGUAAUUUAUUAUCUUUUAUGCAAUAUCAUUUGUUGCAAACUUUUUAGUAGGAUACUUUGCCAUGUAGGUAUCAUUGGUGGUAUUUCUAUCAUAGNNNNNNNNNNNNNNNNNNNNNNNNNNNNNNNNNNNNNNNNNNNNNNNNNNNNNNNNNNNNNNNNNNNNNNNNNNNNNNNNNNNNNNNNNNNNNNNNNNNNCAAAUCUAGAUGUUACUAAUAAACCAGGUAUAGCAGGUACACAUAUACUGCACCAACUAAUGUCCGCUCCCAUGGGCUGUAAAUCUAGAUGCUACUAAUAAACAAGUUUUAGUCGAAGACUUCCAAAUUCUGAAUAUGUUUUAAUCAAAGAGGAUCAAAAUAUAAACACACCAUUUGAGCUACCAUUGCCAACUUAGUAAAUAGAAUAAUCUAUCUUCAAACUUUUUGGAUACUGCUUGCUCUGCAAAGAAGAAAACAAAGUGCAUUACUAAAAGCUGAUGAAAGACAUACUAUUUAAAUUCUGGCGUAAUAUGACAAAUAAAUACCAUGGAAAAGUUGUUGGCAUCAUCUUCAGGUCCCAUUCAUUGUAGAUGAUCCGACACUUGAAGCAAUGCUUGCCAUUGACUCCAUCCUUCCAUGCUCCGUGCAGAAAUAAUUUUUAGAUAUUACAUCCAGCAACAACUAAGAGUUAGAUUGUCAUGAGAGCUGUAGCACAUCGAAGUCUAAGAAAACAAUAAUCCCAUGCUAAAGUAGCGAAGAAUGAUAAUGUAUAUGGAAUGCAUUGGCAUUUAGAUGAACUAAGGAAAAGAAAAGGAGUGCUUGUGAAAAUGGUCUUGAGUACAGCAGCAUAAUUUAGCAUAGCCUUUUUGCCAUGGACACAUAGCAUGAUAUCACCACAAAGUGAGAUCUGUAGGAAUAAAAUGCCAUUUUAUCACACCUGUAGGAACAUAUUGCAAGUGUUAAUGAAUCUCAGUCUUGUGCGGCUGUGCCUUCAAGCAGAAUAUCACAACUUGUGCCAACAAGCACUUCAUGUUCAGGACUUGAACAAGUAGAUAAAAUUACUUCACUCAUGUACACUACCAGGCCAUAAGUUUCUGAAAUUUUUACUAUACAUAAUUGCUAGAAUAUGCAGUCUAAGCAAAAUAUAGCAAUUUCUCUGACUAAGUUUGCCGCGCCAAGAUACAGAAAGAUAUCUACUCAAGAUACGAUUGGCUACAACUCCAAAAAUCAGUAUAAAGGGAACAAAGGAUUAGAUCCAAAACACAUAAUAGUAACACAAAUUCGUAACAUCUAAAAGAAUACCUGAAGGCUCGGAGUUCUCUUCUCCGGCGUCGGUAGAUGGCGGAUCUAGGCAGGAGUGUGUGGCUGUGGAGGGGGUUGCGUCGAGGUGGAUAAUGGCGGGGCAGAGGUGGGGCGAGUUUCCCGCUGGACGUCGGAGCAGAGUACGUCCGUACUGCAGCGAGCUUGUUCCACCGGUGUGGCAGCGCAGCCCACGGCGAGAUCCGCCGCCAGGCCCCUGAUGCUUUUUGUUCUUUCUG
RNAcentral lists this long non-coding RNA (3515 nucleotides) under Triticum aestivum (bread wheat). RNAcentral describes it as "long non-coding RNA (TAES_LNC019041)". The record is from RNAcentral. Lineage: Eukaryota; Viridiplantae; Streptophyta; Magnoliopsida; Poales; Poaceae.